CUACGUGCCAGCAGCCGCGGUAAUACGUAGGUGGCAAGCGUUGUCCGGAAUUAUUGGGCGUAAAGCGCGCGCAGGCGGAUCGGUCAGUCUGUCUUAAAAGUUCGGGGCUUAACCCCGUGAUGGGAUGGAAACUGCCAAUCUAGAGUAUCGGAGAGGAAAGUGGAAUUCCUAGUGUAGCGGUGAAAUGCGUAGAUAUUAGGAAGAACACCAGUGGCGAAGGCGACUUUCUGGACGAAAACUGACGCUGAGGCGCGAAAGCCAGGGGAGCGAACGGGAUUAGAUACCCCGGUAGUCCACGCUGUAAACGUUGGGCACUAGGUGUGGGGGCCACCCGUGGUUUCUGCGCCGUAGCUAACGCUUUAAGUGCCCCGCCUGGGGAGUACGGCCGCAAGGCUAAAACUCAAAGGAAUUGACGGGGGCCCGCACAAGCGGCGGAGUAUGUGGUUUAAUUCGACGCAACGCGAAGAACCUUACCAGGUCUUGACAUUGAUGGACAGAACUAGAGAUAG
This 509-nucleotide ribosomal RNA is filed under the name uncultured bacterium. RNAcentral's name for it is "bacterial SSU rRNA". It matches the Rfam family "Bacterial small subunit ribosomal RNA", at positions 501 to 1009 of the family's 1533-position model. The record is from RNAcentral.